This 490-nucleotide ribosomal RNA is filed under the name uncultured bacterium. Its description in RNAcentral is "bacterial SSU rRNA". It matches the Rfam family "Bacterial small subunit ribosomal RNA", at positions 17 to 518 of the family's 1533-position model. The record is from RNAcentral.
UUCUGGCUCAGAACGAACGCUGGUGGCGUGUCUUAUACAUGCAAGUCGAGCGAGGCAGCAAUGCCGAGCGGCGAACGGGUGAGUAACGCGUAAGCAAUCUGCCCCAUAUCAGGAAAUACCCGUGCCAACGCGCGGUUAAUGUCCAGGAGAGUGGCCCUCUGCAUGGAGGGUUGACUAGAGAUUUAUCGGUAUGGGAUGAGCUUGCGUCCGAUUAGCUAGUUGGCGGGGCAACGGCCCACCAAGGCGACGAUCGGUAGCCGGCCUGAGAGGGUGAUCGGCCACAUUGGGACUGAGAUACGGCCCAGACUCCUACGGGAGGCAGCAGUAGGGAAUAUUGCACAAUGGGGGAAACCCUGAUGCAGCAACGCCACGUGUGGGGAAGAAGCAUUUCGGUGUGUAAACCACUGUCAUGAGGGAAUAAGGCCCUUAUCCGUAAGGGAUUGAAUGUACCUUGAGAGGAAGCACCGGCAAACUUCGUGCCAGCCGCUGC